UCCCUGGUGGCUCAGAGGUUAAAGCGUCUGCCUGCAAUGCAGGACACCUGGGUUCAAUACCCAGGUUGGGAA
This is a transfer RNA of Ovis aries (sheep), 72 nucleotides long. It matches the Rfam family "tRNA". From Rfam's summary of the family: Transfer RNA (tRNA) molecules are approximately 80 nucleotides in length. Their secondary structure includes four short double-helical elements and three loops (D, anti-codon, and T loops). Further hydrogen bonds mediate the characteristic L-shaped molecular structure. tRNAs have two regions of fundamental functional importance: the anti-codon, which is responsible for specific mRNA codon recognition, and the 3' end, to which the tRNAs corresponding amino acid is attached (by aminoacyl-tRNA synthetases). tRNAs cope with the degeneracy of the genetic code in two manners: having more than one tRNA (with a specific anti-codon) for a particular amino acid; and 'wobble' base-pairing, i.e. permitting non-standard base-pairing at the 3rd anti-codon position. Lineage: Eukaryota; Metazoa; Chordata; Mammalia; Artiodactyla; Bovidae. The record is from Rfam.